AUUGAACGCUGGCGGCAGGCUUAACACAUGCAAGUCGAGCGGGGUGAUGGUGCUUGCACUAUCACUUAGCGGCGGACGGGUGAGUAAUGCUUAGGAAUCUGCCUAUUAGUGGGGGACAACAUCUCGAAAGGGAUGCUAAUGCCGCAUACGUCCUACGGGAGAAAGCAGGGGAUCACUUGUGACCUUGCGCUAAUAGAUGAGCCUAAGUCGGAUUAGCUAGUUGGUGGGGUAAAGGCCUACCAAGGCGACGAUCUGUAGCGGGUCUGAGAGGAGGAUCCGCCACACUGGGACGGAGACACGGCCCAGACUCCUACGGGAGGCAGCAGUGGGGAAUAUUGGACAAUGGGGGGAACCCUGAUCCAGCCAUGCCGCGUGUGUGAAGAAGGCCUUAUGGUUGUAAAGCACUUUAAGCGAGGAGGAGGCUCUUUUGGUUAAUACCCAAGAUGAGUGGACGUUACUCGCAGAAUAAGCACCGGCUAACUCUGUGCCAGCAGCCGCGGUAA
This 503-nucleotide ribosomal RNA is filed under the name uncultured bacterium. Its description in RNAcentral is "partial 16S ribosomal RNA". It matches the Rfam family "Bacterial small subunit ribosomal RNA", at positions 30 to 523 of the family's 1533-position model. The record is from RNAcentral.